CAGAGCUGGCUGUAGUUUUGAAGGCAGAUGCAAAGCAGUUCUUCCAGAUGGAAGCCAGAGUGAAGCGGGCAAGAUGCCAUCUGGAAGGAGAGGGACCUUGCUGUGCAGAUGCACGUUACAAAAAUAAUAGAAUAUAAAACUGGAAAAAAACAGACAUAGUGAAUGGGAUGGUUCACUGAGUAUCUCGCUGCUGAGUCCCGCCUUUCCAAAGAGUGCAUUGUGUGUAGUAACAUGUAGCCUGGUAAUAAACCCCAGAAUUGAAGACCUUUGCUAUCUGGAAGCCAGCAAGUAUACAGGAGCUGCUGAACAGCACCUGUGACUGUACAUCAACAAACGUGUGACAACUGUAUGGAAACUGGGAUAUCCAUAGUGCUCAAAGACAUGAGCAUGAUCAACUCCUAUAUAGCAGCAAAAUGAUUCUGUCUUGGCUCCUACUGCACAAUGUCAUUCUGAGAACUGUAACUGAUGACUCCAAGAUCUGUUUCCAUAGAUGUCAGUGCCUGUUCUGAGUUCAGCCUCAUGUAAGCAUGGUUUAUAUUCUUUUCUUCUAGAUGUGUCACCUAAAAUUUAUCUAUAUUGAAGUUCUUCUGCAAGUUUUGUGCCCACCAUUUGGUUUUGUGAGGUCGUCUGAAUCUGCAAAAUUUUGGUGCAUUUGCUAGCUGUCAGAAAGCUUGUCUCUGUUGGAGGAGGUUUCUGAUGCAUAGGUCUCCACGAACUGAGCCAUAACGUGGCUGGGAGCCAGUGGCAAAAUUCUGUACUGGAAAUACCUAAGUCUCUCUGCCUUCUGGAAAAAACAGUCAGACAUGUUCUAGCUCCAGUUCCUAAGGGGAUGGAGCGCUGUGCUUAAUUUUACGCAUAUCAGAAACCCCAAGGAAAAGUUGCCUACACUUAAUGCUAAUAUCUCAACACCUUCCUAAAAUGAAAGCAUUAUCUACCAACUUACUUAGGUUACUCAAGUCCUUGAUUUUCUCUCAAACACCAAAUUUAAUGAGUUAGAAGAAGAUUUCUCCAAGAGAUGCAAGGAGUCUUCAUCUCAGCAACAUGUUGUGUAACUGGCAUCUUCAAAUACGCUGACAAGUUGACAGCUUCUUAAUAAGAACCAGGCACAUUAGCAGUGCUGCCCCAAGGCAGCUAGAAGAGCUCUUCUGCAAGUGCUGCAAAUUAAAACCAACAUGUCUUUGUAAUAUGAGAUAGUGACGUGCUGGGAAGGAGGUACUUGGCAUUGACAUCAGGCAAUGAAGAUGUUAAGUUCAGUGGGAAAAGUGGAUGCUGAGUAGAAAUUUACAGUGAGCUCUCUGUGUAUGCUAUGAAGUAUCUGUAUCAAAGCUCCACCUUGUUUUUUUUUUCUGUGACACAAAUGAAAUCUUGGCCACUAGGGAGCUGAUUUUAGUGAUAAAAAUAGAUCAUUUUAUUUAGUUUGCAAGGCAGCAGGUGGUGUUUAGUCCACUCUGUGUUUUGAGAGGCAUCAGAAAUGAUCUAAGUGGAGUUUGUACACAGCUUCAGCUUCUAUGUUCAUGAAUGUCUACUUAAACUGCUAUCUUGAGACCCCCAACUCUGCCUCCACGGCUCCUUCAUAACGCCUUUCUGUAGUACAGAAAGAAAAAGUAUUAGAAUGUUGAUUUUUUUCCACUUUCCCCAAACAAUCUUGAAUUAAUUGCUGUGUGAGAGGAUGAGGUGCAAAACGAAGCACAAAGAUAAAACUACUUGCAAAUGUGCCUGCUGGCUGUCAAAUAACUGCAGUCCUUCCCACACCUUGUGAUCAAUAACAGCUUAUUGACAGUUCAUUAAAAAUUCUUCCCAGUGUUUUUUUUCUAAUUUUUCAUUAACAGUUGAAUGUUACCUUUUGUAACAUUUUUCUAACAUUACCUUUUAUUGUCCACUGUCUAACCACAUGUUUGUUUGUCACAGCUUGCUUGUUCACAGGAAAACAAACAGUGCAGAGUAGAAAAAAACACAUUCUGUCAACAGCCCUUAAAAUUUUACCAGAUCCCCUUCACAAAUCCCUCUAGUGAUACUGUGAAAGGUAUUUUCUGAAAGUUGUUUAUUCAGAUAUUUGGUUUGUGCACUCUUUCUUAGCAAAAAUACAUGCAUAUCUUUCUAAAUAUAGAUACUAAAAAUGUUUGUCAUAUCAUGUCAACUGCUUCAAGACGUGAGCUAGUGCAGAGCCUAAAAAUAGCUGCCUGAAGAAGAUUGGACUAGCCUAAAGCCAGGCUGGGAUCCAAGAGGAGUAAAUAUGACUUAAAUUCACUUUUGCUCACUCGUGUUCUAAACACUGACUGAAAACUGGAUGAAACCAAUUCAAAUUGUAUGGAUGUAUACAAAAAAAAAGAAUGAGAGUGAAAAGAGAGUGAAUUUUUCACUCCAGUUCCCUUUUUAUUUUCAUCAGUGACUAGGGUGGCACACUGGCCACAUUUAGGUGCUGCAGAAUCUGUAAAACAAACAGGUUGGCUGUUGAAGAGAACGAUGGAAAGUUGUUUCCCCAAACAGAGAGUAAGGGAAGGAGGCAGAGAAGGAGCUGUCUGUCUCCUUCCCAAACUGCAGCUUUGUACAUUAUCUUUUCUGCAGUUAAAGAUAACACAGCAUGUUCCUGAGCUCAUUGGACAUCAGAGUUACACAAAUCAUCAGAAUCGUAAUAGUGAUAACAAAUACAUAAUUUGGACUAAAAGCAGCUGUUUAAGAUGGACCACCAGCACCCCUUAAAUAGAUGCUUGCAUAAUGUUUGGGAUUUGGAAAUCUCCAUGAAGAGCAUUUCUAAUGAAUGAAAUGUCAAGUAAUACAAUCUGCGUGUGUGGCUGACUUUGACAUUUCCAAGCAUAGCCUCUCUCCUGGGCCAUCAUUUUGCACCCACACUUGUCUGACAACUUACUGAAGAAAUGCAUCCAAACAGACAACGAAAUGCCUGUAUGAUUUACACAGGAGGCAAGUAAACAAAAUAUCACUUACUAUAAAACCUUUCCAAAUGCAACUGUAAAAAGCAAUAUCAGACAGUUCCAAAUGCUGGAAAACGGCUUUUCUGACUGCCGCUUAGCUCAUUUCUAUUCAUUCUUUUGGGAUAAAAUUUUUCUUAUUGAGGUUUGACCAGACUUUGAUCCAAACAUCUGAAGACUCCACAACAACUAUUGCUAGGCAUCCAAUGCUCCUCAUGUUUGAACAGGUAGCUCAUAGCCGUAGCACAGAGAGAGGGAUUUUCUUAAUAAUCCACUGAGAAUAAAGACAUUCAGUAAAUCAGUAGGACAAGGACUGGGGAAGUGUCAAGUUCUCUGUCCUGUUUUAUUGCUCAGUUUUCAUAAAUGACGAUUACACUUGUGCAUAUUAUAGCCAGAAAUGGCUUUGCCCAGGAAAUUCUCAGUACUUUAAUUUUGACUUAGACUCAUAGUCUUAUCACCUUUAGAUAAAUUGCUGGUUCCUGGUGUUAAUCUUUAUAUGUUCUCUCCAUUUUCCUUUUCUGUUCAUCCACAUGUUACCUCUCUCUUUACUGACAAAUACUCAUUUAUUAAUAACAGUGUGCAAGAAUGAAAUGUAAAUGGUGAUUUACCCCUUUUUGCCCAGAGAAUAUGUCAAGAAGCUAUGAACAAAAUCUGUGCUGUACUGUUCAAACAGAUGACACCUUAAUUAGAUUAAGUUGAGCAUGAGAGGAAUAUUGAAGAUGAUGUGCAAACUACAAACAGGUCAACUUCUUCAAGAUAAAGUGGAUUAUUUCAAUGCAAGACAUAAUUAAAUACAAUUUCUUUGAACUCUCCAUUUUGUGGUCUAAUGUAUGCCUGUUGGGGAAAAGACUAUUUUUAGCAAUAGUGAAUUUCCUACUUGUGGAUAUAUUUGCUCUAAAUUCCUUUUUGGUUCCCGGAGAGCUCGUCAUUUACAGACUGAGAUUUUUUUUUAUGUCACAUAGAAUGACAUCUUCUCUCGAACAGAUCUAUUUCAAAUAAAAAUAUUCAAAUAUGGAGAGCUAUGUCUUCCAUGUGUG
Molecule: long non-coding RNA, 3964 nt
Organism: Cuculus canorus (common cuckoo)
Lineage: Eukaryota; Metazoa; Chordata; Aves; Cuculiformes; Cuculidae
Exons: 3
Source: RefSeq, a predicted model, not a curated record